RNAcentral lists this ribosomal RNA (895 nucleotides) under uncultured archaeon. RNAcentral describes it as "bacterial SSU rRNA". It matches the Rfam family "Archaeal small subunit ribosomal RNA", at positions 50 to 923 of the family's 1478-position model. The record is from RNAcentral.
CAUGCUAGUCGAACGACCAGAACUAUGUCUGGAAGUGGCACACUGCUCACGUAACACGUAGCUAACCUGCCCUUAGAACGAAGACAACCCCGAGAAAUUGGGGCUAAUCUCCGAUAGGUAUGAUGUCCUGGAAUGGUAUCAUGCUGAAAGGGGUCACGAACAUGUUUUGUGACCUGUCUAAGGAUGGGGCUGCGGCCGAUCAGGCAGUUGGUGGGGUAAAGGCCCACCAAACCUUUGACCGGUACGGGCCAUGAGAGUGGUAGCCCGGAGAUGGGCACUGAGACAAGGGCCCAGGCCCUACGGGGCGCAGCAGGCGCGAAACCUCCUCAAUGCACACACGUGUGAAGGGGUUACCUCGAGUGCUACCUGAAGAAGGUGGCUUUUCUUGGGUCUAAAACGCCCGAGGAAUAAGAGGGGGGCAAGACUGGUGUCAGCCGCCGCGGUAACACCAGCCCCUCGAGUGGUGGGGAUGAUUAUUUGGUCUAAAGCGUCCGUAGCCGGCUGAGUAAGUUUCCCGUUAAAUCCAGCGUCUCAAGCGUUGGACUGCGGGAAAUACUGCUCGGCUAGAGAGUGGGAGAGGUCAACGGUAUUCUGGGGGUAGGGGCGAAAUCCUUUGAUCCCCGGAGGACCACCAGUGGCGAAGGCUGUUGACAAGAACACGUCUGACGGUCAGGGACGAAAGCUGGGGUAGCGAACCGGAUUAGAUACCCGGGUAGUCCCAGCUGUAAACGAUGCAUGCUAGGUGUUAGGUUGGCCACGUGCCACCCUAGUGCCGCGGGGAAGCCGUUAAGCAUGCCACCUGGGGAGUACGGCCGCAAGGCUGAAACUUAAAGGAAUUGGCGGGGGAGCACCACCAGGCGUGAAGCCUGCGGUUUAAUUGGAGUCAACGCCGGGA